CCGCGCUGGACCAGGGAGGUAGCGGUGCCUUCGCCCGAAAGGGCGCCUCAACCCGCUUCAGAGGGGUCGACCGCUUCUCCGAGGGCGUCCGGCGUGUACAGCGCAGGGGCACGUGGUGUCGAUCCGGGUGUCCGGUGCAACUUAAGAGCGGCGAACCCCGCCAGAGCCGGAAGGCAGCAACGGUAACCGAUAUCUUUCGUGUGCCGCCGGUCUCGUCCGGGGAGCCGGCGACCUUCAGCGGGUGCAUGCCGUGGCGUUCGAAGAGAGGCUGCGCGG
This 276-nucleotide signal recognition particle RNA is filed under the name Planctomycetaceae bacterium. Its description in RNAcentral is "signal recognition particle sRNA large type". It matches the Rfam family "Bacterial large signal recognition particle RNA". Rfam says of the family: The signal recognition particle (SRP) is a universally conserved ribonucleoprotein involved in the co-translational targeting of proteins to membranes. Archaeal SRP consists of a 7S RNA and homologues of the eukaryotic SRP19 and SRP54 proteins. In most bacteria, the SRP consists of a 4.5S RNA and the Ffh protein (a homologue of the eukaryotic SRP54 protein). The record is from RNAcentral. Lineage: Bacteria; Pseudomonadati; Planctomycetota; Planctomycetia; Planctomycetales; Planctomycetaceae.